This is a long non-coding RNA of Cornus florida, 462 nucleotides long. RefSeq lists it as uncharacterized. The transcript has 2 exons. The record is from RefSeq and is a predicted model, not a curated record. Lineage: Eukaryota; Viridiplantae; Streptophyta; Magnoliopsida; Cornales; Cornaceae.
UCCAACAUUUUAGAAGUCCUCUGUCGUCUCCUCUCUCAUCUGCCUCGCGUUCUUGAGAGAAAGAGGCAACAAACCCUAGCCCUAGGUUUCGAUGGCGAUGGCGAUCGCGACGCGAUCGCGAUCUCACGUUCUUGACAGAGUGAUCAUCCACUUCGUCGAUUCAGAAACUGAGCACAGUAGGUCAUUACUUGUUGGCCAGUUUGUAGGGACUAUUGAUGGAAUUUGGUAUCUCAACAACAUAUGCAGAACUUUGUAGGGUAUGACUAGGAUGACUUGUAUAGGCUGCUUGCUUAUUGACUAGGAUGACCUGAUGAAAAUGGUUCUACAUGGGUUUUUAUUUUGGUGAAAGUGGUACAUUUGCUGAGGGUGAAACUGGGUUUUGUUUAUGAUGAUUAUUUUGAUAAAUUAACUAUUAUUCCGGCAACGGUAGGUACCGAAGGUUGAACUUCAGCAUUUUUUUCA